CGAAGUCUCUAUAGAUUCCCUCUUCCUAUGUCCUUGGCACUUUACUGACAAUGAUCAUUGAUCUAACGCAUUUUGGCUUGGUCCCUCAUCGAGUUUCCUUAUCCCACGAAUCCUGCAACCACAAGUCAAGCAUCGAUAAGCCCCAAAAUAACUUAGUGAGUCUCCUAAUUGGAUUAGUUAUACUUAAACUUCGUCUUGCAGGGGUAGUAAAAGAAAAGAAACUAAAUGCAAUUGACUCCCAGUGUGACACCCCUAAAUUGACCUUAGUUGGAAAGCGGUUUCGGGACCGCUAAACCGAGUCACCAAAUUAUUUGAAUAUGAUAUUUAUUGUCUAAAAUAUGUGAAUAUGAAUGUGUGAAAGUUUUAAGCUUCGAUUUAGUUAAUUGCAUGUGAAUUUAGUUAAUAAAGACUUAUGUAUGACACUUUUAAAAUGUGAUAGUUAAUCUAUAAUGAUCAAUUAGUGCAUGUCAUAUGAAUAAAGGGUUUGCAUGUCAAAUAUCCAUUAUUAAUGAGUAGUGGCCGGCCAUGGAUGGGUCAUUGAUGAUAAUAUGAAUUCUUUUAUUAGCACUAUGAGUUUAGAAAAUAAAAGAAUGAAUUAAGAAUGAUAAAACAUGAGGUGAGUGGGAGGAAAAACCAAAGUUGUCUCCCCCUUACUCCCCAUUGCCGUGACUAGUGAAAGAGGAGAAAAAUAAAGUUCUUUCUUUGUUGUUCAACUUGGCCGAAUAGAAGAAACAAAGGAGGAGAAGAAUUUCUGGUCACUUGAGUCAUUAAAAAGCUCAAGAGCUUAGAGGACCAAAGUUGGAUAAAGGAAAGGAAAAAGUGAUCGAAUAGCCGCCGAAAUCGUUCGACAACAUCCGAGGUAAGUUUUAAGUGAUUAAACGUUGAGUAAAUUCAAUCAUAAUAGGACAUGAUGAGUUGAUUUAAUAAGAUAUGAUGUGGCCAUGAUAUGUUCUAAGCUCAAAUGGUAAGUUCUUAAGUGUUUGAGCUUGAGAAUUUAAGGGUAAUUUGAAAUAGUCUGCUUAGGACAGCAGCAGUAACGUGACUUUAGAAAAUCACCAUAAAUUUAUGGAUUUGAAUUAGAGGCUGAAUGAGACAUGAAAUUAAAGCUUAAUGAGUCUAGUUUCUUAUAAAAGAAACCGUGUAAGCAAAGGAAUUUCCGAUAAUGAGAUACUUAAAGUUGUGUGAGACAGCGCAGAAUGACACUGUAAUCCUCUGUUCUGUUUUUAGAAAAUCAUUAUAAAUUGUAAAAAAAUGGUUAUAAGAUAAAAUUUAUAUGCUUAGACUCCUUAAUGAGUCUAGUUUCAAAUGAAAUCAAAUACAACACAUUUUGAAUUCUGUAAAAUGAGAAAUUUGAUUCGUAGUGAAGAGUGGUCAGAUUAGUCAAACAGUGAAACAGGGGAAACUUUAAGAAAAAUCUGGUAUUGAUUGGCCAAACCUAAAAUUCUGGAAAUUUUAUGGAUGGAAGAUAUACGAGUCUAUAUUCAGGAAAAAUUAACGGAAAGUUAUUUGGAGUUUUGUAGCUCCAAUUAUAAAUAAUUUAGUGACUAUUGCUCAGGAAAAACAGCUUGUGCUGAAUUUGAGAUUGUGUUGUAAACCUUGAUAAACUUGUUUUAGUUGCUCAUAAGCUAUUGAUUAAACCCAUACGUGAAUUCUAAAUUGUGAUAUUGGAAAAUGAUAGAUGUAGAUUCAGCCAAGACAGUGUGUAUACGUGAAAGUAUAUGUGGUAUGUGAAGUAUAUUUGGAUAAUUGUGAUGUGAAUACAUGAAAAUCUAUAUUUUGAUUUAGGAUUCUAUGUGAUGGAUGUGAACAUGUAUAUAUGUGAUAAGGCCUAUGUGACAGGGCCGAGUGGCCAAUGUGAUGGAUGUGAAAGUGUAUAAAUGUGAUAAGUCCUGAAGGGCAUUUGUGUCAGUACUAUAUCCGGGUUAAAACCCCGCAGGCUUUAUGCGAGAAUAUUAUCACUGAUUAAUGUCCGUAAGCUUCGUGCUCGUACUAUAUCCGAGCUCUAAAGACCCGAUGACUACGUGUGGAGAUUAUGUCCGGGUAAGACCCGAUGACUACGUGUGGAGAUUAUGUCCGGGUAAGACCCGAUGACUACGUGUGGAGAUUUUGUCCGGGUAAAACCCGAUAACUUCGUGUGGAGAUUUCGUCUGAGCUAAAGGUCUCACCGAUAAUCCGAGUAGAGGUUUAAGCUAUAAGACUUCGUAAUAAGAAUUGCUUAUAAAUAUAUUCAAUGCGAAAGGUUAAACAGGUAUGUACUCCAAGUUUAUAUGUGAGCUUGAUUUGCAUUAAAUCAUAAGGUAGUUAUGUGAUGCAUACGAGAGCAAUCUAUGAGACUAUUCCUAUGAUUAUGUGACGUCGGAUCAGUGUGAGAGGUUAUGUGAAAUCAUACGAUAUAUCUAUGUCACAUGAGCUCACUUUUAUGUGAAAGUUUAUCUGCCUAUUGUAUAUGAUGAGAUGUGCAUAUUCCCUAAAGGGAUGGUAUGCCCGAAGGAAGAGUGAAAUAAAAAUACGAACAACUAUGUUAUAAUUUGAUUGUUAUCUGUUGACACUGCUUAAAACUUACUAAGCAUUGUAAUGCUUACUCCGUUUACUCUGUUUCCUCUGUUUUAUAGAUCUCAUUGCGAAGCUACAGGCUCGGGGAUCGUCAGCAACUAGUCACACUAUCACUAUCCACUGCUUGUUACUGUUAUGUUUAGAACUAUUUUAUGGCAUGUAUAGAAUAGACUAGUGGCGGAAGAAUAUUUUUGGUUAAUGUAUAUAAGCCAUGCGAAAAUGGUAUCUUUUGAAUGUUUACUUAGUGAAGUUUAAAUUUUAUCUCUGGCUGUGCUUAGUACUUAUUUAAAUGAAUGAUCUUUAUUUCAAGAAAAAGUUUAAAAUUUUACUGUUCUGACAUGAGUUACAAGUCCGGUAAUGCCCCUUACCUAUUCCGGCGACGGUUACGGGAUAGGGGUGUUACACCCAGCUUGUGCGAGAGAAUUUCUCUUAACCCGACUUAGUGGCUUUGAUUUAUUCCCAAUCCCAUCCAUUGACGGAUAGAUCAUUAUGCGAUUUCUUCUAGCAAUCCUAUCAACCUUCGAUCAAUCUUGAUGGUUCCUUAGAUGUCUCGCCAUCUCCGCGGAAUUUGUCAUUUCUUUACUCCUAUUCAUUCUUCCACUUAUCCCUAGUGUGGAUUCUUCUUUCCACCAUGUUCUUAUAAGGUAGUCCUUUGGCCUACCCUCUUAAUGGCCCUUGGGUAUGUCCCCCUUGGUGAUCAUUCCAAAUCUGUUAGUCCAUGGCAGACUCCUUUUCUUACUAUAGUCCUGAAGGACUCACUGACAUCCCAUCUGUUGGGAUAACUAUUGAGGUUCCCUGCUACUCUAGCAGUUUCAUCCCACUUGGAAUGAGUAGUGAUUAGUUUACUUCUUUGUAAUCCACAUUGUUUACAAUACCAUACUUAUAAGUGUAACAUGUCCGUCUUUUGGGAAUCGUUUGGACCUAUUGUAUCUAGUAGACUAUCACUUGAGUGACCUUUUGAGUUUACAAUCCCUUUUAUCUGAUUGUUCCCUAUAGAACUAGCUCUUGGCAGGUACCUUGCAAUAUAAUCCUCUUAAAGAGGAAUAGUCUCGACAGAUAAAUCUAUCACUCAAUUUAUCCUUCCUGAAACCUUUUUUUGUCAAUUAGUUCUGUCUAACUCUUUCUUUAUCGAUUAGUCAGUUCAGAGUAUCGAUGAUCAGUCCUCCUUUUUUAACAUUGGCAUUGUAACACCCCAAAAUCGGCCUAGAAGUUAUGGUAGGAUCUAGCGAAGUCACAUGAUAGGGUGUUUAAAAACCGUGUCGUCGCGUUAAAACUAUUUCCAUUGAAUUCUUUAUCUUAAUAUCUUAUUAGUUCCAAAAUUGUGUUGCUCAUUUAAUCGAUAGUUUCAAAACGUUAUUCAUUUGCGGAAGCUUUUAAAAUAGAUUAAAAAAUCGUGCGUUUAGGAAAAAAAAUUGUUUCUUUUAAAAAUCGAGGUUUCCUACUACUAGCAGUUGUAAUCUAUAAGGUAAAGAUAAUUAAAACCCAAAACCAAAGUCCGAAAGUCCAAUUACAACCCAAAAACUUAGCCAAUAAAAAUAGAAUAGAAAUAAAACCAAUUAUCGUAAAUAUGGGUUAAAAACCAUGAAAGUCAAAAACCGUGGUCACUGCCGAGUCCUCCGCCGCACCGAUCCGUCUAGAUCUGGGGAUUAGAUGUGCACAUUUAAAUAAAAGGGGUAAGUUUACGAAAACUUAGUGUGUAAUCCCACAUAAAACAAACAAUAGCAUAUCACAGUAUACAGUUAACGCAGUCCUGGGCCUAAGCCCUUUUUCAGUAUCAGUAACAGUUUGAGCUUUAGCCCAUCUCAGUACAGUAUCAAAUAUGCAGUAGGGCCUUAGCCCAUCACAGUAUUAGUAGCAGUCAUGCAGUAUUCAGUAACAAAGUCCUACCCAACCAGCCUCUACACACCAUCUCCGUCCAACCCUACACUCCAUGUGGGGAUCAAAUCAACCCACCCAUCCCUACACUUCAGGUAGUACCGAAUGCGGUACAAAACAGUAAUUUACAGCUGAGCUACUAGUAUGUUAGGCUUAAGAGCCUCUCAGUACACUUCCUCCAAAUAUAAUUAACCCAACCCCAUGCAAUGUAACAUACAAGUCAUGAUAUGCUAUCUCAGGACAUCAGUACAUAUAACCAGUUCAAUAUACAAGCAUACUAUCAUCAUGCUCAACAUAUAUAUAAUAAAAUAGUCAGUUCGUACAAUUAGAGGUCUAAGUGAUGCUUAUCGACCUUAUAGUAGGUUCAUAGUUGACUUGGGCGUAGAAGUGCUCAUGCCGGGCCCAAAAAAAAUUUUCAGCCCGAUUGCUAUGCCCAGGCCCGGCCCAGCCCGAAAUAUGGACCUGAGAUUUUGCCCAGGCCUGACCCGUGGAGAAAAUAUGAAGCCCGGGCUCGGACCGGCCCGGCCCAUUUUGCUUUAAAAUCUGGAAUUUCUUUCGCAUAUCAUAUUCUUCUGGAACAUUGGACAAAUGCAGGUCCAUUCAAUUAUUUCACAAGAACCACCACCACAUUCCAAUCUGUUAAAAAUUCUCCAAUAAGAGAUUUAGCCAAGUCACUAAUUAGAUCAUGCAUGAGAAAAUAAGUACCCUCCAUCUCGAUUGUUAAAAAACUGACCUCAAUCUCAAAUCUUUGAAGUAGCCAUCCACAAACGAAUGAGUUUUUCAAUUUGAAAUUCAUAAUGUUUAGGAAAAUAUGAAUAAUAAGCAAAGCAACACUUUAAAUAUGAUGAAAGAUGAUAAUAACUCAAUUUGAAUGCUGGAAGAAUAUUGCAUGUAUCAUCAGGUAGGCCCCAAAAAUUUCUAUGUAAUAUUUUACACCGUUCAAUAGCAUCUAGUUUACAACGGAGAAGACCUGCAAGUGUUUUUACAGCCAAAGGAGACCAUCAAAUCUUUUAACAAUUGCAACAUUUUUCAAUCUUGAAACUAGAAGAAUAAAAAAUUCUGUAUAUGACUAUUAAAUUAAAAAUAAAAAUAAAAAUAGAAAAGAUCAAGAGAAUAAAAAUAAAAAAUCAUUUCAAGCUUGUGAUCUCAAGGUCAAGAGAGACUGGUGUUUUUUCUCAUACUUGACAAAAUCAAACUGUAUUAUAAUUUCAUACUUGAUUUCAAUACAAGAAAUUAUACAUGUAAAUAUAUACAUAUUAGAAACUAACAUAUACAUAUAUCAAUUCAUACUAAAUUUCAAAAUUAGAUCUUAUACAUGUAUAUAUAUAUAAUCGAACCUCAUAUACUUAUAUAAUGACAUAUCUUAAUUCGAUACAAAAUCAUAUACAUAUAUAUAUUUGCAUCCUUAUUCGAAACUACUUAAACAAGUAUAAUAUACAUAUUAUAAAUCCAAUCCAAAGGUUUAUACAUGUAUAUACCUAUGCAUUUAUUCGAACCUUAUGUACACAUAUAUAUACAUACCUUUGAUUAAACCAAUAAUUUAUACAUGUAUAUACAUGUGUGAAUUCGAACCUUGUAUAUAUAUAAACUUUAUACUUCAACUAAAUUCAAUAACAUUUAUGUAUAUACUUAUAUACCAUUCAUACUUUAACUAAAUGCAAAGGCCUAUAUAAGUAUAUACCUAUAUGUUCGAACAUUAAAACAAUAUAUUAAUCAUUCAUACUUUAAAUUUAUUCAACCAAUAUACUUUAAAUUAUAAUUCAUCAAAGUUGAAUUAUAACCAAAGUUGAUAACCAUGCAAGAUUUACUCAAUUUGUCUGAAAAUCUUAAGCAGAAGAUUCUCCGAAUUGCUGAAAACAAAGCAAGAAUUCAUGACUCUUAUGUUGAUUUUGAAGCUAAAAUUGUUUAUAAGAAUGAGUUAAAUUGUGAGUAUUCGAAUAUAUGUUCUGGCAAUGAAUACUUUAGUCACUUAAUCUUUAUAUCAUUACUCCUUAAUUUAAUAAUUCAAACAAUAUCAAUAAUAAUGUAAGCCCAAUUCCUAGCAAAGUUACUGUCAAUCAUAUGUUUCAAUAAUCCUUCAUUCAUACUUCACUCACCAUUUCUCAAUAUGUAAAAAGUAAUUUUCAUUUUUUCUUUCUCUAGGUCUUGAUAGAGAAGACAAAAAAUUUGAAAAAAAAAGUAAUUCUAAUCGAUGGAUUACCAUGUAAAGAUAAAAAAGAGAAGAAGAUUAAUAAUUUUUUAAAUAUAUAUUUUAGAACUAAUUCGCAUAUCUUAUUCUCUCUGUUAUAUCACUCCAUUUUAAAAUGGUUGCUUUUAUGCAUUAAGAUGAUAACCAAAGAUGAAUUAUAACGAGCAAGUGCCACAAACAGAUGAAUAGACCAAGAUACCCUUCUAUCUUCCAUAGUUGAGAGACCUUAUCCUCCAGGAAAAACAACAUGAUCAGCCAAUCCAAAACAGGACAAAAUCCAGAACAGUCCAACAUUUUAAACUCAACAGAUACCAGAAACAGCUGUCUCUCUUAGUAUUUGAACUCAACCUUUAUGUAAAACUCAAUUUUAAAAUAGUUCGAGAACACAAUCAAAAUCAAAAUCCCCCUGAUAUGUAAAGUGUAAACACAAACAAAAUCCCCCAAGAUUAAGUGUCUCAAAAUCAAAAUCAGAACACCGUUAACAGUAAAAAUCAAAAUCACAACCAACAUCAAAAAGCAAAAAAGGGAGAAGACGUUAAAAAAUUAGGAAACUGUUAACAGGAAACUCACCUUUGAAAUUCAAAGGUAGAAGAUGUUGAAGGCUAGAUUCGCAGGAAGCACCGUUAGAACGGAGGUGGAGUUGUGGAAGGCCGGUCACCGGAGGUGGAAUGGUGGAUCAGACGAGGUGGGUUUCCGAUUUGGGGGAAAAAAAGGGAAGGGAAGACGUUAGGUUAGGGAUUUAUCAGAGACAGAGACACGGGGUCGGGGAAAUGGGGAGGGGAAUUGGGAAUGAUAAAUGUUAAAUUGUUAAUCU
RNAcentral lists this long non-coding RNA (7430 nucleotides) under Gossypium barbadense (sea-island cotton). RNAcentral's name for it is "long non-coding RNA (GBAR_LNC023469)". Lineage: Eukaryota; Viridiplantae; Streptophyta; Magnoliopsida; Malvales; Malvaceae. The record is from RNAcentral.